This is a long non-coding RNA of Rattus norvegicus (Norway rat), 672 nucleotides long. RefSeq lists it as uncharacterized. NCBI's taxonomy places the organism in Eukaryota, Metazoa, Chordata, Mammalia, Rodentia, Muridae. The record is from RefSeq and is a predicted model, not a curated record.
GAAUUCCAGAAGCCAUGGAGGGUUCCAUUAUUGUACCCACUCUGCCUCUUCCUGUGUGUUAUCAGUUGCUAGGUUGAUUUGUGGAAUAAGAAAUGGAAUUGAAUGGAAAAAUAGAAUUAAAGGAAGUAAAGGAGGAGGAAGAGGCAGCGUUCCAAAGCAGAGAAACAGAGAUGAGCCAGGGCUUCUGUGCAGCUUCUAGAAGAGUUUCUGAAAGCUGCAGAGAGGUAGACAGAGUGGCCGAGACGACAAUAUGAGGAACAAGCCAGCACAUAGACAUCUCAGAGACUCAGAUUCACUCCACGUACUCCAUCUUCCUGCCACAUUCACAAGAGGAAACCAGCCUUGAGGUACAAUGUGACAUCUCAAUACACAUCUAUAAUCCAUAGUGUUCCAACUAUGACAGUGCGUCCAUCUUGGAUGAACGGGCAUUCUCUAAGGUACCAGGAACAAGACAGCGUAUCAGUGUCUUCCAGACAACCAGAGAAGUCCUCUUCGGUAUCCACUCCAUCUUUCAUCCCUACUCACUCAUCGCUUGCCGAGGAAACCAACCUCCUUUCCUUCCCCUGUCGCAGAAGAGGGAAGGCAGCUCUAACAGCCUUGGCCCCAGUUUGCUUGUAUAAUUAAUGUGGGAUUUUUUCCUCUUCUAGUAAAAAAUGACCUUGUCAAACCAGA